UACGUAGGGUGCGAGCGUUAAUCGGAAUUACUGGGCGUAAAGCGUGCGCAGGCGGUUUUGUAAGCCAGAUGUGAAAGCCCCGGGCUUAACCUGGGAAUGGCAUUUGGGACUGCAAGGCUUGAGUGCGGCAGAGGAGACUGGAAUUCCUGGUGUAGCAGUGAAAUGCGUAGAUAUCAGGAGGAAUACCGAUGGCGAAGGCAGGUCUCUGGGCUGACACUGACGCUCAUGCACGAAAGCGUGGGGAGCAAACA
This 251-nucleotide ribosomal RNA is filed under the name uncultured bacterium. Its description in RNAcentral is "partial 16S ribosomal RNA". It matches the Rfam family "Bacterial small subunit ribosomal RNA", at positions 524 to 774 of the family's 1533-position model. The record is from RNAcentral.